RNAcentral lists this ribosomal RNA (408 nucleotides) under uncultured Boeremia. RNAcentral describes it as "eukaryotic LSU rRNA". The stretch from base 110 to 263 matches the Rfam family "5.8S ribosomal RNA". Lineage: Eukaryota; Fungi; Ascomycota; Dothideomycetes; Pleosporales; Didymellaceae. The record is from RNAcentral.
UACCCAUGUCUUUUGAGUACCUUCGUUUCCUCGGCGGGUCCGCCCGCCGAUUGGACAAACUUAAACCCUUUGUAAUUGAAAUCAGCGUCUGAAAAAACAUAAUAGUUACAACUUUCAACAACGGAUCUCUUGGUUCUGGCAUCGAUGAAGAACGCAGCGAAAUGCGAUAAGUAGUGUGAAUUGCAGAAUUCAGUGAAUCAUCGAAUCUUUGAACGCACAUUGCGCCCCUUGGUAUUCCAUGGGGCAUGCCUGUUCGAGCGUCAUUUGUACCUUCAAGCUCUGCUUGGUGUUGGGUGUUUGUCUCGCCUUUGCGUGUAGACUCGCCUUAAAACAAUUGGCAGCCGGCGUAUUGAUUUCGGAGCGCAGUACAUCUCGCGCUUUGCACUCAUAACGACGACGUCCAAAAAG